GAGUUUGAUCGUGGCUCAGAACGAACGCUGGCGGCGUGCCUAACACAUGCAAGUCGAGCGGGAAAAUGGGGGCAACUCCAUGAGUACAGCGGCGCACGGGUGAGUAACACGUAGGUAACCUACCUGCGAGACAGGGAUAACCUGCCGAAAGGCGGGCUAAUACCCGAUAAGACCACGGGGGCUGUGGCCCUUGGGGUAAAAGGUGGCCUCUCCUUGGAAGCUACCACUCGCGGAUGGGCCUGCGCGCCAUUAGCUAGUUGGCGGGGUAAUGGCCCACCAAGGCAAAGAUGGCUAGCUGGUCUGAGAGGAUGGCCAGCCACACUGGGACUGAGACACGGCCCAGACUCCUACGGGAGGCAGCAGUGGGGAAUAUUGCGCAAUGGGCGAAAGCCUGACGCAGCGACGCCGCGUGGGUGAUGAAGGCCUUCGGGUC
This 433-nucleotide ribosomal RNA is filed under the name uncultured delta proteobacterium. Its description in RNAcentral is "bacterial SSU rRNA". It matches the Rfam family "Bacterial small subunit ribosomal RNA", at positions 9 to 424 of the family's 1533-position model. Lineage: Bacteria; Deltaproteobacteria. The record is from RNAcentral.